Molecule: long non-coding RNA, 430 nt
Filed under: Homo sapiens (human)
Lineage: Eukaryota; Metazoa; Chordata; Mammalia; Primates; Hominidae
Description: HSALNT0226566
Source: RNAcentral
CGGCUGUCCGUUUCCCGGGCUGUCGGGUCGCGCUGUUCCGGUGCCCUCCCUGACCCACUACUGCGCCACGCUGGGCUAGGAUUGGCUGAAAAUUACAGGACUUGAAUUCAGACAAGUAACGAAUAAUUUUUUUUUUAGUGUAAGUAUAUCCAGGACAUUGCAUGGGAAAUACUUAUGCUAAAAAAAUUUUAUUGGGUAUCCUGUAGUUUUACUUGCUAGAUCUGGCACCCCAGCCCCAGCCUGACCCUCAGGACAUCCCACUGAGCCCAGGGUCCCCCUCAAAACCACAGGCCCUCAUUCCAGCUCUGUGAGCUCCACGCCGGUGCCCUCACCCUUGAGACAGGCUGUCGCAUGGUUUUUUCCUGCUGCUCUUACAGACCUGGCUGCACCCCUUCCUCUGGCCGCAGAGGGGGUGCAUCUUGUCCCUUGA